UCCAUCGCAAGGUGGGAUCUGAAGGAAGCCGGCGGCAAAUUCCCGGCCUAACGGACAGAAACUACAUACAAGGCCAAAGUUGCCGAGAUGAGGUUGCAACACAAACCAAAGUCUUAUACUGCUCGGAGGCAACAUGGUAGAUGUAGCAGGUAUGUGGGAAGAAAGUUAUCGCU
Molecule: non-coding RNA, 173 nt
Filed under: Parapedobacter koreensis
Lineage: Bacteria; Pseudomonadati; Bacteroidota; Sphingobacteriia; Sphingobacteriales; Sphingobacteriaceae
Source: RNAcentral